RNAcentral lists this ribosomal RNA (253 nucleotides) under uncultured bacterium. Its description in RNAcentral is "partial 16S ribosomal RNA". It matches the Rfam family "Bacterial small subunit ribosomal RNA", at positions 524 to 776 of the family's 1533-position model. The record is from RNAcentral.
UACGUAGGGUGCAAGCGUUGUCCGGAAUUAUUGGGCGUAAAGAGCUCGUAGGCGGUUUGUUGCGUCGGCUGUGAAAUCCCGAGGCUCAACCUCGGGUCUGCAGUCGAUACGAGCAAACUAGAGUGUUGCAGGGGAGACUGGAAUUCCUGGUGUAGCGGUGAAAUGCGCAGAUAUCAGGAGGAACACCGGUGGCGAAGGCGGGUCUCUGGGCAGCAACUGACGCUGAGGAGCGAAAGCGUGGGGGGCGAACAGG